AACGAACGCUGGCGGCAUGCCUAACACAUGCAAGUCGAACGAGACCUUCGGGUUUAGUCGCGCACGGGUGCGCAACGCGUGGGAACCUGCCCUUAGGUUUGGCAUAACUCCCCGAAUGGGGUGCUAAUACCGGCUAAUGUCUUCCGUCCAAAGAUUUAUGGCCUUUGGGUGGGCCGGCGUGCGAUUAGCUAGUUGUUAGGGUAAAACCGUAUCAAGGCUAGGUUCGAUAGCUGGUAAGUGAGGAAGAUCAGCGACACUGGGCCGUAGACACGGUCCAGACUCCUGCGGGAGGGAGGAGAGGGGGAUAUUGGAAAAUGGGCGGAAGCAAGAUGCAGCAAUGCUGCGUGAGUGAUGAAGGCCUUGAGGAUGUAAAGCUAUUUUAUCCGGGAUGAUAAUGACGGUACCGGGAGAAUAAGCACCGGCUAACUCCGUG
This 433-nucleotide ribosomal RNA is filed under the name uncultured bacterium. RNAcentral describes it as "partial 16S ribosomal RNA". It matches the Rfam family "Bacterial small subunit ribosomal RNA", at positions 29 to 507 of the family's 1533-position model. The record is from RNAcentral.